Molecule: long non-coding RNA, 672 nt
Filed under: Pan troglodytes (chimpanzee)
Lineage: Eukaryota; Metazoa; Chordata; Mammalia; Primates; Hominidae
Description: long non-coding RNA NONPTRT013497
Source: RNAcentral
CUUCGGAAGGCCGGAGGGAGGGGGAGGCCUGUCAGUCUCGCGCGUUGCCUGGGCGAAGGGGGCGGAGCUUUGGCGUGGGGCGGCCAAUAGUGGGGGUGGCUGCGUGGGUCGCCAUGGGGACGGGGCUGUUCCCGGGGAGGCUGUGAUGGGUUGACAGGUGCGUGACAGUGGGAGCUGCUCUCGGCACAAGCAUGUACGGCAAAGGCAAGAGUAACAGCAGCGCCGUCCCGUCCGACAGCCAGGCCCGGGAGAAGUUAGCACUCUACGUAUAUGAAUAUCUGCUCCAUGUAGGAGCUCAGAAAUCAGCCCAAACAUUUUUAUCAGAGAUAAGAUGGGAAAAAAACAUCACAUUGGGGGAACCACCAGGAUUCUUACAUUCUUGGUGGUGUGUAUUUUGGGAUCUCUACUGUGCAGCUCCAGAGAGACGUGAAACAUGUGAACACUCAAGUGAAGCAAAAGCCUUCCAUGAUUACCCUUUUAUGUCACCUCGGUACCCUGGAGGUCCAAGGCCCCCAUUGAGGAUACCUAAUCAGGCACUUGGAGGUGUCCCAGGAAGUCAGCCAUUACUCCCCAGUGGAAUGGAUCCAACUCGACAACAAGGACAUCCAAAUAUGGGUGGGCCAAUGCAGAGAAUGACUCCUCCAAGAGGAAUGGUGCCCUUAGGACCACAGG